UCCACAAUGGACGCAAGUCUGAUGGAGCAACGCCGCGUGAGUGAAGAAGGCUUUCGGGUCGUAAAACUCUGUUGUUGGAGAAGAAUGGUCGGCAGAGUAACUGUUGUCGGCGUGACGGUAUCCAACCAGAAAGCCACGGCUAACUACGUGCCAGCAGCCGCGGUAAUACGUAGGUGGCAAGCGUUAUCCGGAUUUAUUGGGCGUAAAGCGAGCGCAGGCGGUUUUUUAAGUCUGAUGUGAAAGCCCUCGGCUUAACCGAGGAAGCGCAUCGGAAACUGGGAAACUUGAGUGCAGAAGAGGACAGUGGAACUCCAUGUGUAGCGGUGAAAUGCGUAGAUAUAUGGAAGAACACCAGUGGCGAAGGCGGCUGUCUGGUCUGUAACUGACGCUGAGGCUCGAAAGCAUGGGUAGCGAACAGGAUUAGAUACCCUGGUAGUCCAUGCCGUAAACGAUGAAUGCUAGGUGUUGGAGGGUUUCCGCCCUUCAGUGCCGCAGCUAACGCAUUAAGCAUUCCGCCUGGGGAGUACGACCGCAAGGUUGAAACUCAAAGGAAUUGACGGGGGCCCGCACAAGCGGUGGAGCAUGUGGUUUAAUUCGAAGCAACGCGAAGAACCUUACCAGGUCUUGACAUCUUUUGAUCACCUGAGAGAUCAGGUUUCCCCUUCGGGGGCAAAAUGACAGGUGGUGCAUGGUUGUCGUCAGCUCGUGUCGUGAGAUGUUGGGUUAAGUCCCGCAACGAGCGCAACCCUUAUGACUAGUUGCCAGCAUUUAGUUGGGCACUCUAGUAAGACUGCCGGUGACAAACCGGAGGAAGGUGGGGAUGACGUCAAAUCAUCAUGCCCCUUAUGACCUGGGCUACACACGUGCUACAAUGGAUGGUACAACGAGUUGCGAGACCGCGAGGUCAAGCUAAUCUCUUAAAGCCAUUCUCAGUUCGGACUGUAGGCUGCAAC
RNAcentral lists this ribosomal RNA (953 nucleotides) under Lacticaseibacillus casei. Its description in RNAcentral is "bacterial SSU rRNA". It matches the Rfam family "Bacterial small subunit ribosomal RNA", at positions 365 to 1311 of the family's 1533-position model. The record is from RNAcentral. Lineage: Bacteria; Bacillati; Bacillota; Bacilli; Lactobacillales; Lactobacillaceae.